GUAAGUCAGGCGCUAGACAGGCCGGUUAGUUCUCAAGGGUACCUACGUACACACUCUUUUUUUUGUUUUCAUGGGGGUCGAUUUUCUGGAACAACAUGUACGUACAUAUACCUCACCUGGUCGAUCAUGUCUGGAGCCUUAAACCAUGGGGGAUCAUUUUGGCAGUAUUGGCCAAAUCCGUUUUGGCACCGGUUUUGUGAAGACAGCAAAGUGUCUCAAAGAACUCAGAAGAUAUGUCCAAAUUUAUGUUGUAAACGCUAAAUAAAAUUCGAAUUUUCGGUCUUUUCCUGGU
Long non-coding RNA from Tigriopus californicus, 292 nucleotides. RefSeq lists it as uncharacterized. The transcript is spliced from 2 exons. The record is from RefSeq and is a predicted model, not a curated record. Lineage: Eukaryota; Metazoa; Arthropoda; Copepoda; Harpacticoida; Harpacticidae.